Molecule: ribosomal RNA, 427 nt
Filed under: uncultured bacterium
Lineage: Bacteria
Description: partial 16S ribosomal RNA
Rfam family: Bacterial small subunit ribosomal RNA
Source: RNAcentral
UGGGGAAUAUUGCACAAUGGGCGCAAGCCUGAUGCAGCCAUGCCGCGUGUAUGAAGAAGGCCUUCGGGUUGUAAAGUACUUUCAGCGGGGAGGAAGGUGUUGUGGUUAAUAGCCACAGCAAUUGACGUUACCCGCAGAAGAAGCACCGGCUAACUCCGUGCCAGCAGCCGCGGUAAUACGGAGGGUGCAAGCGUUACUCGGAAUUACUGGGCGUAAAGCGCACGCAGGCGGUCUGUCAAGUCGGAUGUGAAAUCCCCGGGCUCAACCUGGGAACUGCAUCCGAAACUGGCAGGCUUGAGUCUUGUAGAGGGGGGUAGAAUUCCAGGUGUAGCGGUGAAAUGCUUAGAGAUCUGGAGGAAUACCGGUGGCGAAGGCGGCCCCCUGGACAAAGACUGACGCUCAGGUGCGAAAGCGUGGGGAGCAAACA